UACAGAGGGGGCAAGCGUUAUUCGGAAUUAUUGGGCGUAAAGGGCGCGUAGGCGGCUUGGCAAGUGGAAGGUGAAAUCCCUCGGCUCAACUGAGGAACUGCCCUCCAAACUGCUUUGCUUGAGGCCGGGAGAGGCGAGUGGAAUUCCCAGUGUAGCGGUGAAAUGCGUAGAUAUCUGGAGGAAUACCGGUGGCGAAGGCGGCAUCCUGGACCGGCAUUGACGCUGAACAGCGAAAGCUAGGGGAGCAAACGGG
RNAcentral lists this ribosomal RNA (253 nucleotides) under uncultured bacterium. RNAcentral's name for it is "partial 16S ribosomal RNA". It matches the Rfam family "Bacterial small subunit ribosomal RNA", at positions 524 to 776 of the family's 1533-position model. The record is from RNAcentral.